This is a long non-coding RNA of Poeciliopsis prolifica (blackstripe livebearer), 498 nucleotides long. RefSeq lists it as uncharacterized. The transcript is spliced from 3 exons. NCBI's taxonomy places the organism in Eukaryota, Metazoa, Chordata, Actinopteri, Cyprinodontiformes, Poeciliidae. The record is from RefSeq and is a predicted model, not a curated record.
GGAGCACAGAACAUUAUCUGCAUGUGUGUUCAGGCUCGCCACACUCCUGACAAGAACACGUUCUCAGCCGCACAUGCGAAAGUGGCCGACGGCACGAACGAAUGAUGCGCCGGGAUCGUGAGUCAACAGAAAUUCAAACAGGCAAAAGACAGACAGAAGAGACCGCCGCGAUUCCUCUGCUCAGUCCCAGACAUCUUAACAGAUAAGACUUUGAGCACCCAGGCUGCACUGAAACACCUCUUCCCAGAAGGACACAAGGAAGGGAUCCGUCUGGGCUUCCGAUCUCGAUGGAUUCAAGCGAAGCAGAAAGUCUCGCAAUCCCGGAAUGUUUGCCUGCUGAAUGGCAAAGCCAACCGUACCUUGGAGGAUGUGGUGGUACCUUUUGGGGGUGGAAAGUACAGCUGCUGUGCUCCAAGCUUCACUGGCUAACCACUGUAUCCCAGUGAGCUCGCUUCUGUAUGUAACAGAGAUGGAUGGAAAUAAAAUCACUGAAAGUGU